GGGGAUUUGGUAAGGUCUCGAUCCCCCUUAAAAUGAAAAGUUUUCUAUUUAGGUCUUUUAAAAUUUUAAAUUAAUAAAGGUAAAAUUAUACCUUGGUCUCCCUAAAAAUGAUAAAAAUUUGUUAAUCUUUUAAAAUUUAUAAAAAUAUAGGCUAUUCAAAUAGUGAAAUUUUAUUUUUAUUAUCGUAAAAAUUACAAUUUAAUUUCAAUCCCUUAAAGAAAAUUUCUACAUUUGCCCCUGAUAUGUACCAAUAAUUGUUUGGUGCAUUAAUAAGACACAUUAUACUUCCGAGUAAAGAACUUACGUUUGAACCCCUAGAGAUGACAUUAUUUUGAGAAGUAAUUGUGAACCUUAAAAAUAUUAGACUUCAAUGGCAUAUAUAUUUACAAUAAUAAAACACAUGACCGAGUUGAUGUCACCCUUCAACUAAUUCUUAUCUCAAUUGAAAAAUUACCAAAAAUUCUUUUCCUUUUACAAAAUAAUUUAUAUUGUUCCAAAGAUUUUUUUCUAUUUUUUAUUUUUUUUAGAUUAAUAAAAAUUUAAGUAAUGAUGAUAUUAAACUUUUAACUCCAUUUCAAUUAAAACAUUAUUUGAAUUCUCUAUAAAUGUUUAAUAAAUAUAUUUGUUGCUAUUAACAUUAUCUAGUAUAUAUAAUAUGCCGGUAAACAUUUAGUAAAUGAAUGUCAAUUCCAUCAUAGGCACAUAGUGAGUUUCAGUACAAAAUUGAAGUAGAUACCGUUCCAAUCAAAACCCAUGUUAUCCAUAUUAAAUUUAAUUUCCAAUAAGGAUAAGUAUUUGAUACAAUACAUUCCCUUUUCAUAUAUUUGAAUAAUUGUACCUCUAAUUAUGAAAUCAAUCCUUUUAUUUUAUGAAAACAGAAAAAAUUUAUUUUUCUACUUUAAUUAAUUUACUAUAAUUUGAUCAUCAUACUUCAUGAAAACUGAAAAAUUAGUUUAAUUAGAUAAUAGAGUUGAACUUUGCCGUUAAAUUGUUGAAAAUAAACAAUUUAGUAAUUUCUACGCAAAGAAAUAACAAAAAAAACAUUUUAGCAAAUUCUAUAUAACAAAUUAACAAAAAUCAGUAAUUAAGUUCAUGCAUUUACUAACAAUUAAACUAAUUUUCUAAUAAAAGACUUAAAUUUUAUAAAAGGAUGAAACUCAAAAUUAAAUCAAUGAUCGUACCAUCACACAUUCAUACUCACCUCCAAAUACUUUAAAGAAAAAAAAUUAAUAAUAUAAACCAGUGUUACUUCAUAAAAUUUAACAAGCCAAAUAUUCCGAGGAGACGCUCAAAAGGUGUUUUAGACAGAAUUUCACAUCCCUUUUUCAUCCAUUAAAAGACAUUCGGAAAUAAAGUUUUCUUUUAACUCCACAAGUGAAAUUAAAACUGUUAUGUGCCCUAAACCUCACUUUUGAAGUUAAAAAGCUCCAUCACCAAUAUAUCAAUUAAUACUCCUUAAAAGACUAAAAGCAUUAGAAUAAAAGAUGACUUUACAUUACCAAUAAUUACAUAUUACACAAUACACAUGCCUAGAAGAAGUUCCUUCUUCUGACUAUAUGGUAGUUAAUGGAAUAAUUGAAAAUUUUUCAAUAUAUUCCUAUGAAUAAACUAAGUGCUCAUUUUACACAUUGCAGGAUGCCACAGGAUUGAAUGAAACAUGAUGAUAUUCAAAGAAUUGAAAAAUAGAACAUGAAUAAUCAUACCGUAUUUUAAUUCAAUGUCGCACAACUGUUGAACUGGAAGAUAUCAUCUCCACUAUCUGCUGAUGGAUUUUGCCAUUAGUCACAAGAACCCCACCAGCAGGGCAUAUGAUUCUCCGUUUAAAUUGAUCUGCUGCAAGAUCAAGUUCACUUCCUUUCCAAUCCGUCACCUGAAUUAACGAUGUCAAUUUAUUGUACUAUCGUUAGCAAAUCAAUUAAUGAUAUAACAAUCUUAUCGAAUUUGGAAGUAAAAAUUUGGAACAGUGAUGCGGCCAGUAUGACAGGACAAAUAAAGAAGUGGUCUGUAAACAAAACAAGGAUAUCAAGCUCAAUGUCUUUUAUUCGUAAGAUUUAAUAUGUCCUACGGAUGUCAGUUUUUGUUUUUUCGUCUUAGUGUUAUUGGCUCGGCGUGGAACAAGCAAUGAGGAAGCUACGGAAAAUGUCUUGCACAAUGACCACUACCAGACAAAUCUCAUCUGAUGACAAUAUUCUAUUACUAAUGAGGUGUCACAUGUACCUUUCCUCCAGCUUCAUGAACACAUAUCAUACCAGCAGCAUGAUCCCAAGCCUAAAUUGUAAAGGAGAAUAUAAGUAAUUAUAUUGCUACAGAGUUUUUGUGCUCAAUAAACUAUUAAUAAAGAUUAUACCUUGGUCACUCUUUCAGGUUUAACUUCAAGAAUGAAAACAGAUGCCCCACCAGAAGCCACCAUUAAGUACUUGCAUAAACUGCAAACAAACAGAGACGUAUGUCAUGAACAUGUCAUUGAUACAUUACUGUAAAACUCUCACACAAGAAAAGAAAAAAUAUAACAGAAAAAAGAAUUGUGCUUUAGAUACCAUGCAAUUCGGUGAAAGCUCCAUCGAGAAUCACACAAGUAGAAAAACAUUGUGAUAGAAAGCCAACAAACCUUCCACAACAAAAGGGUAAAAGACGAAUUUCCUUAUCCCCGAUAUCAUCAUUGUCAUUGGUUGUUGCGUCGUAGAAAACUGACAGUGGCAGUGACUCCCAUGCUUGACUAUCUGGAAUGCAGAAGUUGGCUUUGUGUACCAAAGAACAACCAUCAACAAAACAUCUGGUCCAAUCGGAUGAAGGUCUGAACGAGCUAUCAAACAUGUGCCUUAACCUCUUUGUCCAAGUUCCACAGCCAACAUGAGCAACCAUAAUGAUCCCCAACCCAGGUGAACUGUUUUUAUAACCUUGAACGUCGGUAAUGGACCUGUGGAAAGUAUCUACAACCCAGUUAGGGCAGCCCAUGACUCCUAACAUGAUCUCUCCUUCAACUACAAGAGACAAACCUACCUGAAAAUUCAGAAUAUGCCCUCAGCCAUGAAGGUGAAAAAGAAAGAUUAUGCUUAACUGAUAGCAAAAGAUCACUAAAAGAAAAAACUUCAGUUAACAACAGCAACAACAAAGUUUACACCAACCACAAUCCUAAAACUUGUAAAUGUCAGUUUUUUUUUAAAAUGAAACUAAACCAGAAAUGUAAAUUAUGACAAUAACUAUUUCUUUUAGAAUUUUCAAGCAUGCAUAUUAUCAUAUGUUUUAUUUGAAUGUAAUGCAUCAUUCAUGCAGAAUAGAAUAUUGUUGAUUAUCUUGAAUCCUGUACAAUAUCAGUAAAUUUUGUUAAAUAAUGCAGGCCAAUAAGUCAAUAACAAUACACAAGUUUUGACUAAGUUUAAAUUAUGUUUCAUGGCAUGAAGAAAAUGUUUCAAAUGAAAAGAAUUAAUUGAACCAAGGCAUACAUACCACAUAUAAGGCUUUGCUUCCUUUUACAAACCCUCGUGUGCCAUCAAUUGGAUCCAGUAUCUGCAUCAGGUUUGUGGACGUAAAAAUGUCAAAAAGUACAUAUCCAGUACCUGGAAACUCUUUUAUUUAUAAUCAGCAAAAGUCAAAACUGCAGUUUAUGGACAAGCUUAAGUAGACUGUAUAGGCUUUACCCAAUACGUGGCUGGUUUUGUUCCGAAUUCAGUCCUAUCCCCUCGAUCGAUUGCUUCCAGCACAUCAGCAUGUAAAAAUGAUUCCUCAUGAAAGCUUGUUUUAUUAGAAACUGCACUUACUACAGGAUCCACGAGAUUUUGGGACUGUAAAAAACCAGAGUCCUCUUCCGCCACCAAUGGAAUUGAAGGGAACAAUUUACCCAACUCUAUCAUAGAAUCAACAGAAGCAAAUUUUCAAUUAUCUCAUUAGUUAAACUUUCUUACUUGUUAAUCAAACAAUAAGCACCCUGAUUUUUCAAUUGUCAUCAUAAAUCAUAUAUUCUCGCAUGAAAAUAAUAAUAAAACUGUAAAAACUACUCUAAAGGAGAAUGUCACAAUUAUGAAACAUUAUGCCAAACUCUAUUUCAAACUCCAUUUUCUUAAUUCUAUUCUAAGUAACAUGCAAUAUGUUCAAUUAAGCAAACAAAAACAUAGAGGCAUUAACGGAAACACCUAAACUAACAAGAGCCUGGACUCCAAAAUCUGCCACUGUAACUGGAGUUUGGUCAUUCUUUUCCAGUAUCCGCCCAUCAGAUAAUGGAGACCUUUGUACCUACAAUCACAAAAAGUAAAAAACUCAAUUUUAAUAAAUAAAAUUACAAAAGUGAGAAAAAUGCAUUAGAACAGAGCAAUUUAAUCAAACAAUGGCUAAAGAACAAGAGUCGAGAUUUUCAAAAAGGCUAAUUACAUCACGCAGAUUCCAUAUUCCAAUUCUAAUUAUAUACUCAAAACUACCGUUACUGUAUCAAUCUAGUCAUCAAUUUAGCCAUAAAAUGUCAGCUUGAAUCGGAAGUAAAAUAUAUUUAAAAUACGUAAACAAAAUUAAAAACAAGAUCACAAAAGCAACUUAAAUUAACAGUGUUAAAAAAGAUAGGUAAUAUAAAUAAAAUUAAGAAUAUUAUUUUCUUUUUAACACGUCAAACUCAAGUUGCUUAUUGUAAAUCUGAGCUGCAUUUAAAGUUGACUAGGCCGACGUAAAUUUGAACUGUCAUUUAACUCUCAAACUAAUAGCUCCUCCAAUGUAUUCAAAUGAUGGAUAUAAUACUAACACUUUAAGAUAUCAAUUUAAAAUCUGAUAAUAAUUUUAAGAUAUCUGCUACGAUUAACCUUCUUCAAAUUUUUAACUUACGUCAAUGCAAAGGCUACAAGCUCUCUCCACGAGCUCCACCGCAGCUUCAAGUUCUAUGUGGUACUUAGCUUUCUCUUUUGCGAAAGGAAGAAUCGAGCUGAAAUAUUUUGCGAAAUGCAGAAAAAUAAAUAACUAAUAGGAAAUUAAAGAAGUAAAACUUUUAGAAAGCUUCAUAGUUUGGAUAGAAGUGAGAGACCUAACUGUGACGAAACGACUGCGGAAAGGUGCAGGGGAAGGGUAGCGGCGGAAGAAUCGGACUCCGGGAGGAGGCCGGAGGAGAUGAAGAUCCAUGGCGGGAAUCAUGGGAGUUGUUGAAAGGCGGAGAAAUAGUGAUUUGUUGGUGAGUAUUGAGUGGAAAGGAAAAAUUGGUUUGCUGUUGCUGAGGUGUAGCAACAAGGAAUGCGAAGCGUGUAGGGGAGGGUUGGGGGAGGGCUUGAAACGGUCCCUUGUGAUAUUGGACUGGGCUAUUAGAUUUUCUUCCGUUUUAGGUUUCUCCUAAUUUAUUUAUUUUGGAAUCGCUAAUGGGGUUGUAGUAGGCCUAGUCAGCAUUCUAUCGAAUCAAAUGAAUUUUUUUAGGUAAUCGAGUUGAUAAAUUUUAUUUUAUCUUUUUAAAUUGAUUUAAAAUUUUUUUGAAUUAAGUGAGAUGUAAUUCGAAUAGAAUUGAAUAUAUUUGUUCGAGUUAAAUUAAAAAAAAUGAGUUUGGGUACUUGUAGCUACUAUCAUUUACUAUAAUCAAAUUUACCCACCGUAAUCAAAUUUGUUAUUAACUUUCAUCCCCUCAUAAUUUAUUUAUUAUUUUUUAUAUACGAUUUAGCUUAUUUGCUUGCUUAGUUGUUUCAAUUAUAUUCUAAUUCUUGUCACAAUGUAUUUUGAAAUUAAGGGUCUGUUUGAUUGACGGAAUUGAUUUUCCGGAAAAUUAUUUCCAACUUUUCCAGCGUUUGAUUGGCGGAAAACAUUUUCCAUUUGGAAAAUGAACUCCAAAACAAGGGAAAAUGGGUUACAUUUUAGGGAAAAUGUCUUACCCUUUCAAUUUCCGUAAGACAUUUUCCGUGCUCUCCUCUCUAUCGCCUCCUUCAUUCCUUCAUUCAUUUCCGGUAGAAAACUGCUUCUGUUUAUCGAUUUUCCAGUAACUUAUUUUUUUAAUUAUUCAAUACUUAUUUUUUUAACACAAUUACAAAUAAUUUAUUUGAUAUUAGUUUUUUUCAAUUUAUAACGAUUAAUAUUGUAGCUUAAUAAUUGAGUAUUAUUAUAAACAAAUCAUUGCAAUAUAAGUAAAAAUAAUUUAAAAUAUAAAAAUUAUUAAUAUAUAUUAAUAUAUGUAAAAACAACUUUUCCGAAAAAUAUUUUCAAAAAAUCUGCCAAGCAUCAGAAAAUAUUUUACACAGAUUCAAUCAAACACUAGAAAAUAUUUUCCAGUAAAUCAUUUUACAGAAAAGUAAAACAUUUUCCAGAAAUCAUUUUACGGAAAAUAUUUUACUGGCAAUCAAACAGACCCUAAAAAAUAUAUUAAAUGUAAAAAAAUGUGAUUUUUUAAUAAAAUUUAUUUUAAAGAUAAAAUGUGAAAUUAAUAUCAUCAUAAAAUUUUAAUACGAGUAUUUUAUGACAUCAUCAAUAAUUCAAUUUUAACAUAAAUUGAUAAAGAUUCAGAUGAUUAAAAAUAUAAAUAGUACAAAAUGUGAAAUUUAAUUCAAUAAUAUAAAUAAUAGACAUAAAUUUGAGAAAAAAAAGUUUCUUUUUUUUUGAGGGGGGGAAGUGAAAUGUUUGAGGGGAAGUAAAAGUUUUGGGAGAAAAAUAAAAGGAAAUUUUUUUUAGGGUUUGGGAGCAAGUAAAUUUUUUGGGGGGAAAGUAAAAGGACUAGGGGGGAGGAGAAGGGAAAUAAAAGAGAUUGGUAUUUGGUUUAUUCGAGUUAUUCAAAUUUGAAAUUUUAACUCGAAAUUUGAAAAAAAAUUUGAGUUGUUUCGAUUCACUCAAAGAAUUCUAUUCUAAUAAUUCGAAAUUUGAGUUUUUUUUCGAUUUUUUUUUGAGUUGGAUUGAAUUUCGCUCACCUCUAGGUUGGAUUGAAGGUCAUUGUAUUAAGAGCAAAUUGCAUUUAGUCUGCUUUUACUAAAAAAUGGACAAAUUAGUUAUAUCAAAGAACAAAUUGCAUUUAACAAAUUGUACGAUAUAUCAAAUAGCAAACUGAUCAUUUUUGUUAAAAAUUUAUUCAUUUCUACUGUUAAAAACUGACAUUGUUGAUAGAAUAAUCAGACAAUUCAUGUGGCAUGCCACAUAUACCUCAUUUUAACAUAUAAUGAGUAAUUUUUAACAAGAGAAAUAGAUGAAAUUUUUAAUAAAAUGACCAGUUCACUCUUUGAUCUAAUGUACAAAAACUAAUUUGUCCAUUUUUUAAGUAGAGGAGGCAAAAUACAAUCUAACUCUUAGUAUAAUGGCCUCCAUGAUACUUUUACCCCAUUGGACAAUGCUUUCCAAUUGAUUUCACAAUGGUCAAGAGCAAAGCUGGAAAAUUGUUUUAUGUGAAUAAAAAAUAGUGAGAGGAUUAAUAUGUAAUUUUAUUAUUAUACUAACUUGUAAUUUUUUAAAAAUUAAAAGGAUUAUAUAGAAAAUUUUCUAUUUUAAGGAGUAAGGUUACAUCCUGCCCCUUUCCCUCCACCCAUGACUAAAGGUAAAUCUAAAAAGGCAAUAAGGGCUUUGGCCUCGAGUUUUUAUUUUUUCAAUUGAGUUAUUUUAUAAACAAAGAAACUAUAAAUUAAUAUAUAAUAAAACUACAGUUUGGUGUAUCAAAAUGAAAAAUUUUCAAUUCAAUCCCCUUGUAAAUAAAGAAAUUAUAAAAUAAUAUAUAUUGCACUUUAACUAGACCUGCUCAUGGGUUGGGCCACCUGGCCCGGCCCGAAGGUUUGCCAAAAAUGUGGGAGAGUUUGGGUAAAAAUAUAGACCAGUUUUAAAAAAAUAGGUUGGGCCUCAGGUAAGGCAUUUUCAGUCCCGGCCCGAAUUCACUAAAUGACAAAAAAUUAUUUUUUUUGUUUUUUAAUAUUAUUUUCUUAUUGUUUUCUCACUAUUUUGCUACCAUUUUACUGUUAUGUUGCUACUAUUUUGUUGUUAUUGUUUGGAUAUUGUAUAAAACUUAUUUUAUUGUUAAUUUUGUUAUUAUUUUAAAGACAUCUGCUUAAUUUUAUUAUUAUUUUAGAGGCGGCAUUUGCUUGUUAAGUUACACCUAUUUUAGUGUUAUUUAAGUAUACAUAUUUUUUAAAAUUUAUUUUCAAUUUGUUGGAAAAUAUUUAUUUUGAUGUUUUUAGUAUUUUUUAUGUAUUAUAUGUUUUUUAAAUUUAUAUAAAGAAUAAUAUAAAAAUUAAUAUGGGCGGGUCGAGUCGGGCUUGAGUUUUAACAUUUUAUCUGGGUCGAGUUUAGAAAAAAUUUUAGGCCCAUUUUUUGGGCCGAACAAGGCUCGGGCCUAAAUUUUUAGUUGAGCCCGGCCCGACCCAUGCAUGCCACUAACUUUAACCCCUUAAAAAUAAAAAAAAUAUAUUUAAUCUUUUCAAAAAUAAUAAAAUUAUAAAUUAAUACAAAAUACACUUACAUAUUAAUCAAUAAAAAAAUUAUAAUUACAUUUCGGAUCUCUUAAAAAAAAUUUAGAUUCCCCUACCAUGACGCUGGUUGAUGCCUAUAUCUUAUGUUUUGUUUAAAUUUUUAUUGGGAACAGUAAGAGUAUAUGUGAAAGAGUGAAAGGGAAAGUGGCAGAUAUGGUAAUUCUGAAGAAAUAUAGAGUCCGGUUUGGUCCUGGAAACUUUCCAAAUGGUGCACAGAGAGGAAAGCUUGACAGUUUUUAUCGAAAAAAGCUAUUUGUUUUUUGAGUUUUUUCUAUUAAUUAGCUUUUAAUAAGUGAAAUAUUUAUAAACGUCUCUUUUAGCUGUUUUUUGGGGAUUUUUUUUUUUGUAAAUUUUCCCUUUUUUGCAUUCAUUUGAAUGUCUUUGAUCAUUCCUCUAGCUAAUUUGCAGCAGAAAAUAUACCAAUUUCAUGUUUUUUUGUUUUUUCUUACCAUAUGUUGCAGAACAGUAAUAUUGCAGAUUUCUUUCUUAAGUGCAAGACACAAAUCUAAAAUCGAGCUAAACCGAAUCUCGAAAUAACAAUAAAGUUCUCUCACUGCUUAUUCAAACCCGAAAUUCUUAUCAUUCAACUCAACAAGCAUUAGAAUGCUGCUGCAGAUUAAACUAUUUUUUCAUGAAUUCUACAGAACAUAUAUGAUAAAAUAGUGAUGCAAUAUCAAUGCAAAUUUUGUGGAACCCUUGAAAAACUCAUCCUUUUUCUUGCUAUACUGAAUUGACCAUUGCAGGUCCCAUUUUCUCUCUGGUUCCAACGCUACCUUUUAAACACAAAAAUUAUUGGCAUUGAGGGGUUAACCAUCAAAGCUGCAAUACAAAUACAAAGUCACAAAAUAUUGCAGAAAAAAAGGGUGUUUUUUUGUUGUGGAAAGAGCAAAAAGAAACAUCGUUAAAUGCAGUGUUGAUGAACUUAUCAAAACAGAAAAAAAGCUCAUCAACGCUGCACUCAACAAUGUUUCUUCAAUCUGAGAUAAUAUAUGUAAAUGCUUAACUUAAUUCAACCGAUCAACAUGCAUAUACAUAUAUAUAUGUUACGUUGGGGAAAUAUUUAAGUCACCUUUCAAUUUGUCUGCAGCUCUUUGAAUGAAGUUUGCUUGGAGUAGUUGUACUAAUUUUCUUUUUGUUUUCUUGGAUUGGAAUCUUUACCACAUUUAACACCAACAAUGCAACUAUCGAAUUCAUUUGUAUGGUUUGCCAUAACUUUCUCUAGAGAUAGUAUAGUAUGUAAAAAAAAAAUUGUAUAAAUGGUUGGCUCUUUUUCACAAUUGCAAGCAACUAUUUUUCCAUAUACCAACUCUAAGUUAAGGCCUAAGGGUCUCUUGGUGUCGCAGCUGUUCUGCAAUAGUGUUAGUGGUUUUUUUUUGGGGGGUCUAUUCUAUAAUUCACGGAAAUUAAUUCUUUCCGAAUUUGUGGCUAUCCCUAUUAAGAAUAUCAUCUCUAAAGAUACUAAUCCUUUAUCAUGUAACGUGUUAACAAAAUUAGCUCCUAAGCUAUUCUACUUUUUCUCGUUUAGGUACUUAUAUUUUGUCCGAAGUGAUACCUAUGUCAUCAAUUCCAUUUUAUUUUACCCAAAAAAGUAUAAAAUGUCUAAUAAGAGCAUAUUAUGUGUUUCAUUAUUAUCGGAUUGUAUUAUGUUUUGGAGAUAAAAUGAGAUAAAAUUUAUAAUUUAUAUAUUAUUUUUUAUAAAAAUAAAACUUUAAAUAUAUCUAUAUAGAAAACAUGAAUUGAUAAGAUAGGAGAAAAUAUAGCAAUUAUAAUAUCUUCAAAGAUUUCACCAUGUAAAAGUAAAGAAGGGAUUGUAUGAAACAGUAAUAUUAUCACUUUUUCAAUAAUUUAAUGUCACAUCAAUCAGUAAUUUCAUCGUGAAUGUUUGAAUUUUUAUUUGGAUUUGAUUUUUUUCAGGAUAAAAAUAUUAAUAUGGCAUUAAACUAUUGGAAAAGAGAUAGAGAUGAUGUGGCGUCACUAUUUCAUACAAUAUUUUUCCUGUAAAGAUAUAUCAAAUCCCACAUAUUAUAAGCUACCAUACUGAUUUGGGUUGAGCUUUUAAGUAAGAAAUUUAAGAGAAAAACGUAUCAUCGUUCAUGAAUCGACUCAACUCAGCUCAUUUUGAACUAGGUUUAAGUUUAUCUUUUUAACCUCGAGCUGGUUUUUAUUCAUUUCAAUGAAAAAGACCAUUUAAGUGGGCUAGACUAAGCCCGUAAGGAAGUAUAACAACUAUAAUAUCAUAAAAGGAUUUCAUCAUGUAAAGAUAUAUCAAUUUUCCCAAAAAAAAAUAAAAAGGCUCAAUCUAUUAUCUAAUUCAUGAAUAGAUCUAAAGAGGAGUCUUAGUGGGUAUGAUUUGGAUAUUAUAAAUUUCAGUUUCCAUGUACAGUUCCAUGGAGAAAUCCAUGCCCAUUACAAUUGGUUCUCUUUAUGCAUGUUUAAAUUGAAGCAUUCCAUAAAUGAAUUAAGCACCAUACAUGCAAAUAGAAGCCCAACGGGCUUAACAAAUUACAGUGACGACCUGGCUGGGAUGUAACGUACGAAGUUAGAAUUUUUAUAUUAGGGGUCAAAAUUGAAUUAUAAUUUUAUCAUGACUUAAGGUUAUGCAAUUUGGUUGAGUUUUGGAAUUUAAAAAAUAAUGUUGGAUUAAGUUUGAGUAUCAUGUCUUAGAUUUAGAGUUGAGUUUGAGCUCUUGUUUGUUAUUAUUCGGGUUUGACUUGGCUCAAUUACAUUCCUAUAAUUAAUGAUGUAAUUAAAAAAAUUUUGACUGAAAAUAAAUUAUAAAUUUAAUGAGAGUUAAAAUACAAUUUCAUCAUUGUACUUGUCGAAACCAUCCUUUUUUUUUAAAUUUUAAAUCUAAUGAAAAAACGGGGAGGAAUCGACUUUUGAAAAUAAAACAUGGAGUCGCCACCGAUCUUUCUGUUUUAGUGUGAUCGGGUCACCUAAGAAUUUGGCUAUUUUAAUAAAACAUUUCUGGUUUACUAAAACAACAAUUUUGGUCUACGAACUUUUGAGAAAACGGGUUUGGGAGUCGGUUACGCAUGAGGAAGGAUUAGCAUCCUCACUACGCCCAAACUUGGUACAAAAUCAAUUAAAUAAUGUCCUUAUGUCUAAGAUUUAAAAAUGUUUUUGAAAUGUGGUUCCCUUUUGAUAAUAUUUGAAUAACCCGAGUUGGUCAUCAAAAUUCUCUUGCUUAAGAGGAAUAUAGCACCACAUCCAGCACAAUAGGACAUGAUCCUUUAUGCCCUCGAAAACAUGACAAAUUUUGACUUCCAAAAAUUUAUAUGUUGAAAACCGCAAAAGGAUGCCCAAUUAUUUAGUCCAACGAGAAAAUCGAAACCAAGCACAGUAGGGCACGACUCCUCAAAUUUCUAGGUGUUAGACAUUGCCUUAUUUUAUAAUUUAAAGAGUAUGAGUGAAAUUCUAAAGGAAUCUUCGAUCAUUUUGGACAAACAGGAAAUCGUAACCCAGCACGAUAAGGCACGAUUCCCCGAAUUGCCAAACAUCGAAUAUUACCUUCGUUUUGAAGAGUUUUUAGAAAACAUGAAUGAAGUUCCAAAGGGACAUUCGAUUAUUUUGAGCAAACGAGAAAUUGCAACCCAACACGUUAGAGCACGAUUUCGCGAAUUGCCAAAUAUCGAACAUCACAUUCGUUUUAAAGGAUUUUUUAGAAAACAUGAAUGGUUAUAAAACUAGCUUAAAGUACGUUAAUUCGACUCGAAAUAAGACGAAACUAAUCAUAAAAAUUUGGAUUUUAUAAAACCACAUUUCGUAGACCAAGUGGAAAACAAUGAUAUGGGAUAAUAUAUGUAUGCAUAAAAGUACGACAAUGGAAGAAUGAAGAUAAUACGAUUUAUUUAAUCAACUAACAGUCACUUAAACAAUUAAAUAUAACUAACUUGGAAAUAUAACUCAAUUUCGAUCAUGCAUGGAGAAUAAUUAACAUGACAAUAUAAAACAAUGAAUACAUAACAUGCAACGACAACAUACAUGGCAUAAUAUAAAAUGAUUACUACUAGAUGCAAAAAAACAAAAUGCAAAUCGAAGAAGCAAUAUGGUAUAAAACUAUUUUAGAAUAAUGAUAAGUACACGAUACACACUAUAUGAAUUGAGGGAUUGAUGAAUAAAAAAACAUUUGUAAAGACAAGCUUAAUAUACACAUGCAAUCAUUAAAAUAUAUAUUAUAGAAUGAAUAUUUUUAAAACAUAUAAUAUAUAAAUUGACGAAAUUGCGUAGAAGCUAAUAAUAUAUAAUUAUUGAAAUAAAUAUUAUAGAAUAAAAGUUUGAAUCAAAUUGCAUGUAAAAUAUUUUAAACACAAAUUCAUUUAGGGGUUUACAAAAUAUGUGAUAAUUUAAAUAAUAUAUAAUAUGAAAGGAUAAUAAAAUACAUGAUGAGACGUAAUACACAAAAUAGAUUUACAAAAUAUAUGCAUUGUAAUAGCCCAAAAUUGGGUCUAGUUGGAACAGAGGUUUCGGGACCACAAAAUCUGAGAUAUAAAUAAUUAUUUUAUGAUUAUUUUGAGGUCUAUGAUAUGAUUGCAUGAUUGUGUGAAAAUUUCGUGAAGAAAUUCUAUGCAUAAAGUGCUUAAUUCGAAGUUAGGGACUAAAUUGAAUAAGUUACAAAACUUGCAUUCUAGAAGUUUCUAGUAUGAAAUUGAUUUGAAAUAUUAAUUAGGAGGUCUUAAAUAGCAAUUUGACCAAUUUCUAAGUUAUGGACAAAAAUUGGACAUGGAUGGAAUUUUUGGAAAGUUUAGUAGUAAGGGUAUUUUGGUCAUUUAGGGAUAAAACGAAUUAAAAUACAAAAUUAAAAGCCAAUUUUGCUCAUCUUCUUCACCAUGGACGUGUAUACCAAGGGAGACUCCAUGGAUAGGGUUUUCAAGCUUCCAAGCUCAAUUGUAAGUCCGUUCUAACCCCGUUUUUUAAGUUCUUUACGUUUGUGGAGUCCCGGUAACUUGAUUUAGCUUAUGCUAGCAAUAAUUCAACCUAGGGUUCAUAUUUGGAAAAAUACCCAUAGGUAAAAUUUGUGUAUUCUGGUGUUUUAUGAUACAAUAUGAGGUUUUAAAUUAUGUUAGACAACUUGUGCUGCUCGGUUUUAAGUGAAAACGAGCAAAAGGGCUUAAUCGGUAAAAAUACCUAAUAGUCAUAAGUAUAUGUUAGAGUGAGAAUUUGAUGUUGCCAUAGAAGGGAAAAGUGAUCACCAUGUCAUAAAACAUAAGAAUAAGGGAUGAAGUUUAAUUCCCGAGCCUAGGGGCAAAAGUGUAAAUAUGCAAAAUUUUAGGGGCAAAAUUGUAAUUUUUCCAAAGUUUGAGUUAAGGACUGUUUUGAAUAUUACAUUAAUUAAAUAAGUAAAAUAUGAUGUUUUAGAUCCCGGAAAACGAGAUUUGAACCUAGAAUGAGAGAAAAAUCAAAAAUUGGGAAAGUUGGUAAAAUGGCCGUUUUAAUAUCAAGGUAAGUUCAUAUGUAUAAUAAACAUUAAUUUAUGCAUGUUUCAAUGUAAAAUUGACAUAUUUACUAUGAUCUCCGAGGUGUUGAAAGUAUGUAAGUUGGCAUGAUAAUAAUACAACAAUAAUGCUGUAAUUUAUAUUUGAAAGUUAAAUUUAGUGAAUUAAUUGAAUUAUGUUAAAUUAAAUGAUUAUGGUGCCAAGUUUAUGAAUUGAUUUAAAAAUAUAUCUAUGGUACAUGAAGUGCAUUGAAUUAUCAUACAUAAAUGUGAUUUCUAUGAUUAUGAAUAUUAUGGGAAAUUGUAAGUUCAUAUGAUUUUUAAUAAGACAAUGUGUAAUUUAAUGUUAUUGCGUUGAUAUUAAAUGAGAUGUAAGUUUAUAUGUAAGUAAUACAUCACUAUUACUUGUAUUAUGAUAUUUUAUAAAAAUAUUGGAAAUAUGUUUGUGGAUAAUUACUUGAUUGGUGAAAUUGUUGGAAAAGAGAGAGAAAUCCCGGUUGAACCUUCGGAAAGAUUGGAUGAUACAGAUGGUAUGUAGCUAGGUCACAUGUAUAGUGCUGAGUGCACAUUAUGUGUAAAAGAGAGCUACAAGACAUUAUGAUGUAGCUAGGUCGCAUGGGUGAUACUAUGUGUACACCAUGUAGACAAGAGAGCUACGGGAUAUAUGUAUCUAGGUCGCAUGCGUGGUUCCAAGUGAAGGACACCAUGUAGACAAGAGAGCUACGAGAUAAACUGGCUAGGUCACAUGGGUGGUACUAAGUGUUCACCAUGUGUACAAGAGAGCCGAACUAUAUGAUGGGUGGAGCUAUGUGCUGAAACCACCAAGUAUAGAGGAUUGAUCCGAAGUGUUCAACGGGAGACUCUCUAUGUAUUGCUUUGUGAGUUUUGUGAUGAAUAUGUGCAGGAACUUGGUUAUGUGAAUGAUGUGUUCAUUAAGUGACCAGGAUGUGGUAAGGUUAUAAACAAGUAAGUUAUACAUGAGGAUGAUUUUAUGGUGACCUUGUGAUCAUGGGCCUAUACUUGUGAUGUAUGAAAUGUGGUGAAAAUGAUUUGUGAUAUGUAUGUUAAAAUGAGGUUAAUACAAAGAAAGUGUGAAAGAGUGAAUUAGCAAUAAAACUGUUUUGGACAGUAGCAGUGACGUGAUUUUGAAAAAUCACCAAAAAUAGUAUAAAUUGAAUUAGAGACUGAAUGAGAUAUCAAAUUAAAUCUUAAUGAGUUUAUUUUCAUAUAAAAGAAACAUAGAAAGCAAAGGAGUUCUAUAUUUUGAGAUAUUUAUGUUUUCGUGAGACUGAUUCAGAAUGAUUACGUGAUCCCCUGUUCUGACUUUGGAAAAUCACAAAAAUUUGGAGAAAAAUAAUUAGAGGCUCAAAAUUAUAUUUUUAAAAUCCAUAAUGAGUCUAUUUUCAAGAUAAAUCAACAAGAACAUUAUCCGAGUUCUGUACUGUGAGAUAAUUAUUUUUUAGUGAAGAGAGGUCAGAACUGUCAGAAAGUGAAACAGGGGAAAUUUUAAUGAAUAAACUGUACUAAUUAGCUAAACCAAAAAUUAUGAAAAUUUUAUGGUGGAACGAUAUGUGAGUCUAGUUUCAGGGGAAAUUUACGGAUCUUAAUUUGGAGCUCUGUAGCUCGAAUUAUAAAUAAUUAAGUGACUAUGACUCGUGUGGACAGUUUGAUGUGAACAUUUAUUAGUAAAUUGUGAAAUCGUACUUACAAGAAUGCUAUAUACAUUAAGGAUGUGGAAUGGAGAGGAGGAGGAGGAAAAUAAAUAUAUGUGGAAUACAUGGAAACUAUGGUAUAUGAAAUAUUGAUAUAAUGAAAUAAAUUAUAUGUGUUUAUAAGAAAACAAAAAGAUAAUGUUAUGUAUCAUGACAUGUAUAUAUAUAUGACUAGUCUCAAUGUAAUGCUUGUUGGGUAUGGAAUUGAAUUGAAAUGUUUCAAGCAAACAUGUUAUUCUGCGCAUCUGAAUCGUGGUAUUUUAUAAAGAUAUGAUCUAGCUUUAAAUAUGAAUGCUUGAUGAUUAAGCUGAAGAUAUUUGGUAAGAUGAUAAUCUUGGUAUAAAUGUAUAAGUGGUACUAUAAUAAACAAGGUAAAACGAGUAUGAGAGACACAUGUAUGAUGACAUACAAAUGCUAUGUUUGUGGUUUAAUUGAGGAUUUAUAAUCAUUAAAUGAAUACCAUGUUAUAUGCUUUUGAUUUUGUAUAAGUGUGUAAGAGAUCAAGGUUGACCAAAGGUUGGAAAAUAGCCUAGGUAUAUUCCACACAGGCAGAGACACGACCAUGUGUCUCAGCCGUGUAUGGAACACGACUUUGGUACACGGGCGUGUGGAGCCUUAAAGCAUGAAAUUUCCAAGAUUUUUGUAAGUUCUCGGUUUAGUCCCAAACCCUUUCUAAAGUAUGUUUUAGGCUCCGUAGACUCAAAUAAGGGACUAUGUGUAAGAGAAUGAACGCUUUGAAAUAUGAAUAAAAUUUUAUGGCUCGUAUUUUAGUUUAAUGUUUGUAUGUUUGUCUGGUAACGUCUCGUACCUUAGCCCGGCCUCGGAUACGAGUAAGGGGUGUUACAUGCAUAAAUAACUUUGAAAAUAAUCUUUUGUAAAAAACAUAGAAAUACAUACGAGAUUAAGUUAAUUUUAUAAUAAACUAUAUAAUGGAUUUAAGAACAUGCUUACAUAUAUAUAUAUCAAGAAAACUAUAUGUAUAAAAUACAUAGAUUUAAUAAUAAUAUAUAUAUCAAAUAUAGAUAUCAAUAAAUAUAUGUACUUACGUAGUAAUAACCUAAAAAAUAUAUUAUGUAGGAUCAUGUAAUAAUAUAUAAAAAUAAAUUUAAAAGGAAUUAUAUAUGUAAAAUAAUAUUAAAUUAAUAAAAUGCAUAAAAAGAAUUAACCUUAUUAUAAGGUGUAUAUAUAUGUGUAUAUAAAAGAACAUUUUAAACAAACAAAUUUAAAAGAAAAUAAAUAAAUAGAUAUAUAUAGUUACAUGUAUUGAUAUAUUUACAUAUAUAAAUGAAAGUAUGAAUAACAAACUAAAACCAUGCAAAACUUAAUAAAAUACUCCAAGAUAAUAUAUUAAAUGGUGAAUAAUAAGUAAAUUUUCAAAAAUAAAAGGGUUUCAAAGAAUAAAAACAUGCUGAAAGUAAUGAAUAAAUAAAAGAAACUCAAUUGAAGCAAAAAUAAAACUAAAAAGAUAAUUAAUAAAUACAAUAAAUUACUGAAAUUAGAGGAAGGACUAAAGCCUAACGCACGCGGAUGCAUAGGGACUAAAAUUGGCAAUAUGCCAGAUCCCAAAGUGCUGCGUUUAAGUGUGGAUCGAAUUGACUUCGCUUGUAAAUUAAAGGAAUAAAUUUAAAACAAAGGAAAAGGCUGAUAGAACUCAAUCGCAACACAACGCCGAACAAAAGGACUUAAGGUACAAAUAUCCCUCUCUGACCUAACACGCGGGUCUUAACCAGGCGUGGGUCGGGUCAUUGGGUGAAAGCCACCACACGACGUCGUAUCAAGACCAUUAAAAUUGGUCAAAACGGCACCGUUCCCAGUCUCUUAUAUGGACUAAGCCAACCGAAUCAACAAGCACUCAUUCUGCUUAUUUUCAAAUCCCUAAUCCCCUCAGCUAAAUGCCGAUUCAUCUUCACCAUGUGGGACUCUUCGAGCCUGAAGGAAUCUUAGCCCGAAAUCCCUCAUCAACUCCGAUUUCAACGAAGAAGGGAGAAGAAAUCCAUGGCUUGCUCGCACGGUAAGGUCGUUUCCUCUUCACUUUAUUUGCUUUCGAAAUAAAAAAAAUAAAAAAAAUAACACAAAACAAGAGAAUAAUCACAAAAAGAAAGCCCGGAGAUUUAGAUCGGAAAAUCAUCUUCAGAUAUUGGUUGUCUUUUUGUAUUGCCUAUUGUGCAUCCAAAAAAAUACAAUGAUCGAAUGCUUUUGCUUUAUAGCUGAAAAUGAUAGAAAAAAAAUAAAUAAAAAUACAAAAUUCUUUCUUUGCUUUCACAUUGGGUAUAUGCUGCUGUUGCUUGUUUAUUUUUUUUUGCAGGUACGGGUGCAAGGCGCUCGGGUACGGGACUGUGUUGGCGCGGGCGUGGCUGCUGGACGGUACGGAGCGCACGACGCUGGCAUCGUACGGAGGCUUGGUUGCGGCGCAACGUAGACCUUAGGGUUUCUGCCAGUUUUAGAAAUUUGGGCCUUUUGGGCCGAUGUAAUUUUGGGGUUUAAUUUGGGGUUAUUUGGGCUUUAAGGUCUUGAAUUAAUUUUGGGCUCUGGACUGUAAAAGGACAUUUAAUUAAUUAUUGGUUUUUUUGUUUCUUUAUUUUGUAUUUUGGUUCUGGCGUGGGCCCGGGCAAAUUGGCCCAUUUACAGUACUAUUUAUAGAAUAGUCCUUCAACAUUUUUAAGCUCACGAGUGGAAUAUUCCUUCAAAUAAUAUCAAUGUACCUAUAAAUAGUGCAAUAAAUUCACGUCUUAAAUAUAAGACCUGCAUCCAGUAGAUAAUAUUUACCUAUUAAGAAAAAUCACUUAAUAUAAAUUCUGCAAAAUAAACUUAAAUCAUUUAUUUGAAAUUAAUCUUAUCUUUAGGAAUGAUAAGCUUAUCUUCCUUAGUUAAAAGCUUUUUAAUGACUUUUGAAUAUGACGAUAUUCCCUCCCAUCUGGCUAAAAUAUAUGUAAACUUAAUGUCAAAUUUAUCUUCGCUUUUAGCUUUAGCUUUAUUCACGAG
Molecule: long non-coding RNA, 18518 nt
Filed under: Gossypium barbadense (sea-island cotton)
Lineage: Eukaryota; Viridiplantae; Streptophyta; Magnoliopsida; Malvales; Malvaceae
Description: long non-coding RNA (GBAR_LNC008699)
Rfam family: MIR7502 microRNA precursor family (bases 6996-7138)
Source: RNAcentral